ACGCUGGCGGCGCACAUAAGACAUGCAAGUCGAACGAACUUAAUUGAGAGCUUGCUCUCAAAGCGGUUAGUGGCGGACUGGUGAGUAACACGUAAGCAACAUGCCUAUUAGAGGGGAAUAACAGCGAGAAAUCGUUGCUAAUACCGCAUAUGCUGUGAGUAUCGCAUGAUACAAGCAGGAAAGGAGUAAUCCGCUAAUAGAUGGGCUUGCGUCUGAUUAGUUAGUUGGUGGGGUAACGGCCUACCAAGACGAUGAUCAGUAGCCGGACUGAGAGGUUGAACGGCCACAUUGGGACUGAGAUACGGCCCAGACUCCUACGGGAGGCAGCAGUCGGGAAUAUUGCGCAAUGGAGGAAACUCUGACGCAGUGACGCCGCGUGCAGGAAGAAGGUUUUCGGAUUGUAAACUGCUUUUAACAGGAAAGAAAAAAAUGACGGUACCUGUUGAAUAAGCUCCGGCUAACUACGUGCCAGCAGCCGCGGUAAUACGUAGGGAGCGAGCGUUAUCCGGAUUUAUUGGGUGUAAAGGGUGCGUAGACGGAAAUGCAAGUUAGUUGUGAAAUACCUCGGCUUAACUGAGGAACUGCAACUAAAACUAUAUUUCUUGAGUAUCGGAGGGGUUUGUGGAAUUCCUAGUGUAGCGGUGAAAUGCGUAGAUAUUAGGAAGAACACCGGUGGCGAAGGCGACAAACUGGACGAUAACUGACGUUGAGGCACGAAAGUGUGGGGAGCAAACAGGAUUAGAUACCCUGGUAGUCCACACCGUAAACGAUGGAUACUAGGUGUUGGCAAUGAAUAAUUGUCGGUGCCGGCGCUAACGCAAUAAGUAUCCCACCUGGGGAGUACGACCGCAAGGUUGAAACUCAAAGGAAUUGACGGGGGCCCGCACAAGCAGUGGA
This 897-nucleotide ribosomal RNA is filed under the name uncultured bacterium. Its description in RNAcentral is "bacterial SSU rRNA". It matches the Rfam family "Bacterial small subunit ribosomal RNA", at positions 33 to 936 of the family's 1533-position model. The record is from RNAcentral.